GUUAUCUCGGUUUUCUGUUGUUUGGGAGCGAACUCCUGCUUGCGCGGCUCCUAGUCUCAUUCUAGAGAAAUCAGUCGGUAAUUCGUGAAAGCGCUUAACCUGCUGAGUGGGUCCAGCUUAAGAGAUGAGUUUUGUGGCCACCGCGUUGGUGGCAAACUCUGCGGUCUCUAUUUGAACAGCAUUAGGUCUACAUUAAGAUACUUGCUUUCCGCGAGUUUCUGCAAGCCGGUGAUUGACCAUUAAAUGUGGACAAGAAGAAAAAUGUCUUUCAUAAUGACAAAAAAAAUGGUAUUACCUUCAUUGUUGAAAACAGUACCAUCUUCUCUCAAGAGAACAGCUCUGGAGUUCAACUGCUUGGGUUCAGAAAUGGUUCCACCUCUUAUUGUGUAACUUUGGGCAAGGUACCUAAUCUCUAUGUCUUUAUUUGUUAAAUAAUGAUAAUACAUACUGUCAUAGAGUUUUGUCUAGGGUUAAGUGGAAUAAAAAUACUUAGAAUACUGUAUGGCAUACAGUACUAUUUAAACUUAGCUAUUAUUAUUGCUAGUGUG
RNAcentral lists this long non-coding RNA (548 nucleotides) under Heterocephalus glaber (naked mole-rat). RNAcentral describes it as "lncRNA (ENSHGLG00100050091.1)". Lineage: Eukaryota; Metazoa; Chordata; Mammalia; Rodentia; Bathyergidae. The record is from RNAcentral.